UGCAUGUUUAAUGAUUACACGCUGACACAAUGUUGCACAAUAAGUCGGGUUUUACUCCAGAUAUAAGCUCGGCUGGGAGAUAAAAGCUGAACAGAAGAGAGAAAUCUUCAUCAGACUCAGAGCCAUGCUGCGCUUCAUUUUCUUCCUGAUGUGUCUUUUGCAGUUAAGGCAAGUGCUGAGUGUUAUGGGAGCUGUCACCCCAAAGCCAAUUAUCAUAAAUGGCACCUACAUAAACCCAGAAUUAGGCAAGUAUCAUGCUAGGUUGAGGACCCUCGCUCGCAGCUGCCUGGAUGUCAAAGAG
Long non-coding RNA from Sinocyclocheilus grahami, 301 nucleotides. RefSeq lists it as uncharacterized. The transcript has 2 exons. NCBI's taxonomy places the organism in Eukaryota, Metazoa, Chordata, Actinopteri, Cypriniformes, Cyprinidae. The record is from RefSeq and is a predicted model, not a curated record.